UACGUAGGUGGCAAGCGUUGUCCGGAAUUAUUGGGCGUAAAGAGCUCGUAGGCGGCUCGGUAAGUCGGAUGUGAAAACUCCAGGCUCAACCUGGAGACGCCAUCCGAUACUGCCAUGGCUUGAGUCCGGUAGAGGAGUGUGGAAUUCCCGGUGUAGCGGUGAAAUGCGCAGAUAUCGGGAGGAACACCAGUGGCGAAGGCGGCACUCUGGGCCGGUACCGACGCUAAGACGCGAAAGCAUGGGGAGCAAACAGG
Molecule: unclassified non-coding RNA, 254 nt
Filed under: uncultured Acidimicrobiia bacterium
Lineage: Bacteria; Bacillati; Actinomycetota; Acidimicrobiia
Description: contains 16S-23S intergenic spacer region
Rfam family: Bacterial small subunit ribosomal RNA
Source: RNAcentral